CUUACUGUUGACAUAGAUCAAGUAGAAGUGCAGUUUAAUCAAUCGGAAUGUAACUUCAUCAUCAUAAAUGCUCAAAAACCUCCAUCUGCUGAAAUUUCCAAUAGCCAACAAAGUCGACAGGUUGAAAGUGCUCCUUCUCUGGUGCUUGUUACAAACAAGUGGCUACGGUUGACAUAUGCAAUUAAAUCUGAACAAAGUGGGAAGCUGGAAUGCAUAUAUGUUAUUGCAAAAAUGGGACCCCACUUCACAAUUUGCUGCAGAGCUGAAAGUCCUGCUUCAAUGGACGAUUUACCUCUUUGGAAGUUUGAAGACCGUGUAGAGACUUUUCCAACUAAGGAUCCUGCUCUUGCAUUUUCUGGUCAGAAGCUUGCCCAGGUUGAAGAACCAGACCCACAAGUGGAUCUUAUUUUAGGUGCUACUGGACCUGCAUUGGUUGGAGAGUGCUUUGUUAUACCUGUAACUGUGGCCUCCAAGGGUCAUGACAUCUUUUCUGGUGAGUUGAAAAUCAAUCUAGUGGAUGUAAGAGGAGGUGGGUUGUUUAGUCCAAGGGAAGCAGAACCAUUCUCUAUGGAUAACCAUCAUGUUGAGCUUCUUGGUGUUAAUGGGCCAGAAGGAGAAGAUGAAUCUCCUGUGGGAUAUGAUAAAAUAAAGAAAAUUCAGCAGUCCUUUGGUCUGGUGUCUGUUCCAGUUCUGCAAGAUGGAGAAUCAUGGUCCUGCAAACUGGAAAUCAAGUGGCAUCGACCCAAACCGAUUAUGGUUUUUGUAUCAUUGGGCUAUUUUCGAGAUAGCAACGAAAUGACUUCACAAAAAAUCCAUGUCCACAAGAACUUGCAAAUUGAAGGAAAGACUGCUGUUCUAAUCAGUCAUCACUUUAUGCUUCCAUUCCGGCAGGAUCCGCUGUUGCUUUCAAAGCUCAAGCCAGUCUCUAGUUCUGAUCAAGGAACAUCAUUGCCUUUGAAGGAAACAAGUAUACUACGUGUUAGUGCCAAAAACUGCAGUGAGGUGCCAUUGCAGUUACAGUCCAUGUCUAUUGAAAUGGAUGAUGAUGUAGAAAGGUCAUUUACCUUGCAUCACAGUGGUGAGGAUAUUUUUGGCCCUGCCUACCUUGUUCCAGGAGAAGAGUUCAAAAAGGCGUUCACUGUCAUUCCUGAGGUGGAAUCAUCAAAUCUCAACUUAGGUUCAGUGUCCCUGCGAUGGAGGAGAAAUUUGCAAAGUAAAGAUCAAUCUAGUUCCACUGCAGAAGCUUGGGUUUUGACUAGACAUAAACUUCCUGAUGUAAAUGUAGAGUUAUCUCCAUUGGUUUUGACUGUGGAUUGUCCUCCUUGUGCUAUUCUUGGAGAUCCCUUCACAUAUUCGGUUAAAA
Molecule: unclassified non-coding RNA, 1363 nt
Filed under: Hevea brasiliensis (rubber tree)
Lineage: Eukaryota; Viridiplantae; Streptophyta; Magnoliopsida; Malpighiales; Euphorbiaceae
Source: RNAcentral